Molecule: ribosomal RNA, 465 nt
Filed under: uncultured bacterium
Lineage: Bacteria
Description: partial 16S ribosomal RNA
Rfam family: Bacterial small subunit ribosomal RNA
Source: RNAcentral
GACGAACGCUGGAGGCGUGCUUAACACAUGCAAGUCGAACGGAAAGGCCCUGCUUGCAGGGUACUCGAGUGGCGAACGGGUGAGUAACACGUGGGUGAUCUGCCCUGCACUUCGGGAUAAGCCUGGGAAACUGGGUCUAAUACCGGAUAUGACCUUCCAUGUAGUGUGGGGGGUGGAAAGAUUUAUCGGUGUGGGAUGAGCCCGCGGCCUAUCAGCUUGUUGGUGGGGUAAUGGCCUACCAAGGCGUCGACGGGUAGCCGGCCUGAGAGGGUGGACGGCCACAUUGGGACUGAGAUACGGCCCAGACUCCUACGGGAGGCAGCAGUGGGGAAUAUUGCACAAUGGGCGGAAGCCUGAUGCAGCGACGCCGCGUGGGGGAUGACGGCCUUCGGGUUGUAAACCUCUUUCGACAGGGACGAAGCUUCGGUGACGGUACCUGUAUAAGAAGCACCGGCUAACUACGUG